Molecule: ribosomal RNA, 301 nt
Filed under: uncultured bacterium
Lineage: Bacteria
Description: partial 16S ribosomal RNA
Rfam family: Bacterial small subunit ribosomal RNA
Source: RNAcentral
CACAGCCGCGGCAAUACGGAGGGUGCAAGCGUUAAUCGGAAUUACUGGGCGUAAAGCGCACGCAGGCGGUCUGACAAGUCAGAUGUGAAAUCCCCGGGCUUAACCUGGGAACUGCAUUUGAAACUGUCAGGCUGGAGUCUUGUAGAGGGGGGUAGAAUUCCAGGUGUAGCGGUGAAAUGCGUAGAGAUCUGGAGGAAUACCGGUGGCGAAGGCGGCCCCCUGGACAAAGACUGACGCUCAGGUGCGAAAGCGUGGGGAGCAAACAGGAUUAGAUACCCCGGUAGUCCCUGUCUCUUAUACA